AAUAAAUGCAGUCGUGAAUAUCCGUGCCCAACGUUUGACCGUCCGUCUUAUUUGAAAAAUUUGAAAAUAUUUAGUCACACAUAAAGUACUAUUCAUGUUUUAUCAUCUAAUAGCAAUAAAAAUACUAAUCAUAAUUUUUUUUAAAUAAAACGAACGGUCAAACAUUGAACGUGAAUAGU
This 179-nucleotide microRNA precursor is filed under the name Oryza nivara. Its description in RNAcentral is "MIR812 microRNA precursor family". It matches the Rfam family "MIR812 microRNA precursor family". Lineage: Eukaryota; Viridiplantae; Streptophyta; Magnoliopsida; Poales; Poaceae. The record is from Rfam by way of RNAcentral.